This is a long non-coding RNA of Seriola aureovittata, 1836 nucleotides long. RefSeq lists it as uncharacterized. The transcript has 2 exons. NCBI's taxonomy places the organism in Eukaryota, Metazoa, Chordata, Actinopteri, Carangiformes, Carangidae. The record is from RefSeq and is a predicted model, not a curated record.
AACGUGUGUUCCUUCUCAGGACGUUUGAAAAAACGUUAGAGGUCUCUCCCUUUCCGUUACAUAUCCAAGACAACUCAGACAGUGACAGAGAGAGAGAGAGAGAGAGAGAGAGAGAGAGAGAGAGAGAGAGAGAGAGUGAGUGAGUGAGUGAGUUAAACAGCGACAGAGAAACUCAGACAGCGACAGAGAGAGAGAGAGAGAGAGAGAGAGAGAAAUAUAAGAGUUGAAACUGCCUGACUAUGGCCACUGGUGAACAAGCAAGUAACAAUCCACUACCAAAGCAACCACAGGUGGAGUGCAUCAUCCAUUGUUCUGAUGAUGAAGAUAAGUUGGUUUCAGUAAAAAGUGUUGACUCCUGGAAAACACUGCUCAGGGCAGCUUAGAUACGAAAUCAUGCACCGGUUUUGGAACUGGCAAAGGACAUUCCUGAAGGACAGACUCCAGCAAUUUACUACCACAGAAUGUGUCGCAGUAUCUUCACUAUGAAGAAACUCCUUGAUGGCAUCCUUGAAAAAGAAAAGCCAAGUGCCAGUAGCUGUGCUGAAAAGAAAGAAUUGAAAAGAAAAGCUCGACGUGCCCCAAGUACCUCUAGGACAUAUCCUACAGAGUGUAUCUUUUGUCAGAAAACUUGCAAAUAUCUAAAAGGACAGAAUACGAGAGAAGCACUGAUACAAUGUCGCCAAAUGUGUGCCAAUGCAAAGAUCAGGAGGGCAGCCCAAAAGAAAAUGGACGGCAGAAUCCUUGCCCUAGUGAGUAGAGACCUUGUAGCAGCUGAAGGGAACUACCACAAGUCAUGCUAUAAAAUGUACACCAAAGAGGAGGUUUCCAACAAUGAAGAUGGUGGUGAUGCUACUGAUGAUGCCCAGUAUGAAGCUGCUGUGAAACAGUCAUACAAUGAGCUGUUCCUCUUCAUCAGAACAGAGCUUUUUGGCAAUCCGCGAGUGAUGACAAUGACUGAUCUCACUUCUAGACUGGUUUCUUCAAUGAAGUCCCAAGGAAUUGUCCAAGUCAAGGAAUCAACCACAAAGCACAUAAGACGAAAGCUGGAGAGUGAGUUUUCUGGAGCCUUGCACAUCUUCUCUGAUGCAAAAGGAAAACUCCUCCUUUAUCCAGAUAACCUGUCCAUGAGUGAACUCAUCGAAAAAAAACAGUCCCUUAAAAGUGAGCUGCAGACCUUGAAAAGUGCCAGUGCCCAAGAUGUCUAUAUGUAAUGUUCCACUCAUGGAGCAUCAAGGUUGUUCAGAGCAGGGGUACAAAUGUAAAUACAAACAGGUAAACAGGUCAGAGGUCAAAACAUGAAUGGCAUUGUCCAACCUUGCUCCUCCUAAUUCUGCCUAGCAACAACAAACUGCUGCCCUCUUUCUCUUUCUGCUCUACACCCUUCCCAGGCCUAGGACAUAAAAUAAAAAACUAUGACCAAAGUCAUUGUCUGAUUCUCUGUAGGUCAAAGAUAGUAUUUCAGUAACUGAUACAGUCAACAUGGAACUGGAAGAAAAUAAGUCUGUGGGGAGUAUCAAUUCUAGAGGUUCAGCUUUGCUGUUUCUGUAGCUGCAUCACAGUUAUGUUGAGAAUGACAGCUGCACAUUUCAACAUGCAGCACAGUUUGGAUUAUGUGCAUCUGAACAGCAGCAAUUCACAGCCAACAUUUUCUCAUUCUGGAUCUUGCCAUAUGUCCUAAGAGUGAUUUGCCACUUUUAUAGUAUGAACAGUACCUGGUGUUCAGUGUGAAUAUUGUGUAAUGUCUUUGUUGUCUAUGUAAAGAUUUCCAAAUGAAAGUUGUAAACGAAAUAUUCCUUCUGUGAUAAAAUAAACAAAAGGCUUGUCAAUUAUCAGUAA